Molecule: microRNA precursor, 144 nt
Filed under: Nomascus leucogenys (northern white-cheeked gibbon)
Lineage: Eukaryota; Metazoa; Chordata; Mammalia; Primates; Hylobatidae
Description: miRNA (ENSNLEG00000024492.2)
Rfam family: mir-1289 microRNA precursor family (bases 29-118)
Source: RNAcentral
UUCUCAAUUUUUAGUAGGAAUUAAAAACAAAACUGGUAAAUGCAGACUCUUGGAUUCCACCCCCAGAGAAUCCGUAAACCGGGGUGGAGUCCAAGAAUCUGCAUUUUAGAAAGUACCUAGAGUGAUUCUGAUACAUUGGGAACA